GACAGGGUCGGGCCAGCAGCGGCGGUAAUAGGUAGGGGGCGGGUGGUGUCCGGAAUGAUGGGGGGGAAAGGUCUCGUAGGUGGGUUGUGGUGUGGUCUGUGAAAUGUUGGAGCGUAACGGGAGGCGUGCAGGGGAUACGGGCAGACUUGAGUACUACAGGGGAGACUGGAAGUCCUGGUGUAGCGGUGAAAUGCGCAGAUAUCAGGAGGAACACCGGUGGCGAAGGCGGGUCUCUGGGUAGUAACUGACGCUGAGGAGCGAAAGCGUGGGUAGCGAACAGGAUUAGAUACCCUAGUAGUC
Molecule: ribosomal RNA, 300 nt
Filed under: uncultured Methanomassiliicoccus sp.
Lineage: Archaea; Methanobacteriati; Thermoplasmatota; Thermoplasmata; Methanomassiliicoccales; Methanomassiliicoccaceae
Description: bacterial SSU rRNA
Rfam family: Bacterial small subunit ribosomal RNA
Source: RNAcentral